GGCCAGCCGUAGAAAAAUGCUUAUUGAAAUGAUCGAUUAACGUAAAUUUAUCGGUGGUGACAGUGUUUCCUAGCCUCAGUGCAGUGGGCAGCUGGGAGGAGGUGCUCUUAUUCUCCAUGGACUUUAAAGUGUCGCAAAACCUUUUGGAGUUAGAGCUACAGGAUGCAAAUUUCUGUUUGAAAAAGCUGGUCUUUGCUUUCCUGACUGACUGCAUGUAUUGGUAUCUGGCUUUCCUGAAAAGUUGCAUAUCAUGGGGACUAUUCGAUGCUAGAGCAGUCCGCCACAGGAUGUUUUUGUGCUGGUCGAGGGCAGUCAGGUCUGGAGUGAACCAAGGGCUAUAUCUGUUCUUAGUUCUACAUUUUUUGAAAGGGGCAUGCUUAUUUAAGAUGGUGAGGAAAUUACUUUUAAAGAACGACCAGGCAUCCUCGACUGACAGGAUGAGGUCAAUAUCCUUCCAGGAUACCCGGGCCAGGUCGAUUAAAAGGCCUGCUUGCACAAGUGUUUCAGGGAGCGUUUGACAAUGAUGAGGGGUGGUCGUUUGACCACGGACUCAUAGCAGAUGCAGGCAAUGAGGCAGUGAUUGCUGAGAUCCUGAUUGAAAACAGUAGAGUGGUUUGGAGGGCAAGUUGGUCAGGAUAAUAUUUAUGAGGGUGCCCAUGUUUACGGAUUUAGGGUUGUUCCUGGUGGGUUCCUUGAUACUUUGUGUGAGAUUGAGGGCAUCUAGCUUAGAUUGUAGGACUGCCGGGGUGUUAAGCCAUAUCCCAGUUUAGGUCACCUAACAGAACAAACUCUGAAGAUAGAUGGGGGUCAAUCAAUUCACAUAUGGUGUCCACGGCACAGCUGGGAGCAGAGGGAGGUCUAUAACAGGCAGCAACAGUGAGAGACUGGAGAGUUUCAUUUUUUUAAAUUAGAAGCUCAAACUGUUUGGACAUAGACCUGGAAAGUAUGACAGAACUUUGCAGGCUAUCUCUGGAAUAGAUUGCAACUCCUCCCCUUUGGCAGUUCUAUCUUGACUGAAAAUGUUGUAGUUGGGUAUGGAAAUCUCAGAAUUUUUGGUGGCCUUCCUAAGCCAGGAUUCAGACACGGCAAGGACAUCAGGGUUGGCGGAGUGUGCUAAAGCAGUGAGGAAAACAAACUUAGGGAGGAGGCUUCUGAUGUUAACAUGCAUGAAACCAAGGCUUUUUCAGUUACAGAAGUCAACAAAUGAGAGUGCCUUGGGACAUGCAGGGCCUGGAUUAACCUCCAUAUUACCCGAGGAGCAGAGGAGGAGUAGGAUGAGGGUACGGCUAAAGGCUAUCAAAACUGGUUGUCUAGUGUGUUGGGGACAGAGAAUAAAAGGAGCAGAUUUCUGGUUGUGGUAGAAUAGAUUCAGGGCAUAAUGUACAGACAGGGGUUUGGUGGGGUGAGGGUACAGUGGAGGUAAACCCAGGCACUGAGUGAUGAUAAGAGAGGUUGCAUCUCUGGACGCGCUAGUUAUGCUGGAUGCGGUCACCGCAUGUGUGGGAGGUGGACAAAGGAGGUAUCUGAGGCAUUUUGAGUGGGACUAGGGGCUCCGCAGUAAACUAAAACAAUGAUAACUAUCCUAAACAACAGUAUACAAGGCACAUUGACAUUUGAGAGAGACAUAAAACGAGGCAUAAAGCAAUCACAGGUGUUGAUUGGGAGAGCUAGCUAAGACAACGACGGGUAAGACAACAACAGCUAAUCAGCUAAGACAACAACGACAGGUAAAAUGGCCAUGAAUGGGCAGAGAGGGUCAGUUAACCUCACACACGGCCUGAGUUUGAGGCUGGGGCUGACAGAUAAACAAAAAAAUAAACAAAAUGGAGUACCGUGAUUAAUGAACAGUCCAGUAGGCAUCAGCUAUGUAGCCAAGUAAUCAUAGGGUCCAGUGAACAGCAAUAGAUGGAACAGAGAAGCCGCAGGGUAGUCGUUACUAUGCUAGCAAGCGGGAGACACAGCGUUUAAAGUUAGCAGGCCGGGGUUAGUAGAAGCGUCUGCUCCGACGUCCGGCAAAGGCCGGUUGAGGGACCAGCGGAUGGAGUUCCGUCGGCAGACCAGUCGUGGUGGUACGGCGGGGCACCGUGUCGACAAAGGAUCCAGGCCAGAUGGCGAAAGGGGUAUUGUAGUUGUAGUAAUUUAGUUUGCUAGCCGGGAGAUGCGCCUGGCUCGCGGCUAACUGGUGCUAGCUUCGGGGAAGGGGCGUUAGCCACUAUAGCCACUCGGUAGCAGCUAACUAGCAGCGAUGAUCCGAUGCAAAGGUCCAGAGCUUAUGGCAAGGAUCCGGUGGAGUAGUGGAUUCUAGCCGUGUUGGGGUAGAGUCCGGGAGGCAUCAGCUGUGUAGCCGAGUGAUCACUGAGUAGGCCGGGAGGUGGGCCUGGCUCAGAGCUAGCUUCGGGGCUGGGUCACUUGGUGGCAGCUAGCUAGCUAGCUGUGAUGAUCAGGAAUAAUGGUCCAGGGCUUACGGCAGGAAUCCGGCGUUGUAGUGGAGAAAACAGUCCGAUACUGGCAGGCUGGCAAGUAUUAUCCAGGCUUAAAAAAACGGCUGAUGUCUGUGCAGAAGGUUUCUUACGUGCUGUUCCUGAUUUUUCCGUAGUGUAUUUUUGUGUUGUUUUAGUGAUUCACCGUAGCGAAGGCGUAGACUCAGGUUUUCUGGGUCUCUAUGUUUUUGUUAAUUUCUUUCUUAGGUUUUUGCAUUCUUCAUCAAACCAUUUGUCAUUGUUUUUAAUUUUCUUAGGUUGUCUCCUUGACAUUUUUUGAUGUGAUAGGAAAGCUAAAAUGUUAAAUAUACUGUUUAGACGUUCUACAGCCAGGUUUACACCUUUACUAUUACAGUGACAUGUUUUGUCCAGGAAGUUUUCUAAAAGGGAUUGAUUUUGUUCUUGCCUAAUAGUUGUUUGGUAGAUUUCUACACUACCUUCCUUCCAUCUAUAGCAUUAAUAUUGUGCAGUUCCUUUUGGUUUGAUGCCUCAUGAUAGAGUAUUGCUCUGUUCAAAUAGACUGUGAUUUUGCUGCGAUGGGGGUUUCAGUGGGCUGACUGUGAAUGCUCUGAGAGACUCUGGGUUGAGGUCAGUGAUUAAGUAAUCUACAGUACUACUGCCAAGGAAUGAGCUGUAGAUGCACCUAGCAUAGGAGACUCCUUGAAGCCUACUAUUGACUAUGUACAGACCCAGCAUGCGACAGAGCUGCAGGAGUUGUGACCCGUUUUUGUUGGUUGUUUUGUCAUAGUUGUGUCUAUAUGGGGCAUAUUUGGGAGGGAAUGCUGUCACCUCCAGGUAGGUAUUUGUCCCCGUGUGCUGAGAGUGUCAGGUUCUUGUCCAGUUCUGGCAUUUAGGUCACCACAGACUAGUACAUCUCCCUGGGCCUGGAAAUGGUUGAUUUCCCCGUCUAGGAUGUUGUCAUUGUUAAAGUAUGGGGAUUCUAUUGGGGGGAUAUAGGUAGCACACAUGAGGACAUUUUUCUCUGUUCCUUAUUAAUUUCGAGACGGAAGUAAAAUGUUCCUGUUUGGACUAAUUUAAUAGUGGGUUAGGUUUGCUCUAUACCACAUUAGCAUACCCCCUGAGUCUCUUCCCUGUUUCACACCUGGUAGUUUGGUGGAUGGGACUGCCAGCUCUUUGUAACCUAGAGGGCAACCAGUGGGUCCGUCUCCUCUAUACCAUGUUUCUUGUAGAGUGAGAAUGUCUGUAUUGUCCUAAUGUGUCCUCCUUGUCCUGAUUGCAGGUUUAUGGGACAUAAUCACAGUGCACCAGUCCCCUCCAGUCCUCUCUGUCCAGCCUGGAGACACUGUGCGAAUUCUCUGUAGAGCCUCACAAGACAUUGAUAACGAUAUGACACUUUACCAGUUCAAACCUGUGCAGGCACCCAGAGGCCUCAUUCAUGAUAGUAACCAGAAGUAUCCUUACACAUCUAGUCGGUUCAGUGGCUUAUUGAAUGGAGCUCUCACCACCUUCACUAUCACAGAGGUCCAGGUUAAGGAUGAAGCUGAGUAAUACUGCCAACAAAGUGAACAGCUUCCAUUCACACAGUGAAAUAUGGCUGUACAAAAACCUCUGUUAGCUUCUCUCACUUCAGUCCGUUUGUGCGAGUGCCCGGCCAAGCAUCCGAGAACUGUCAGGGUUCAAUGACCUCUUUCCAUCAUAGCUGUAGCUGUACUUUACAGUCUUGUCCCAUCGCUGCAACUCCCGUACGGACUCGGGAGAGGUGAAGGGACAGAGCCGUGCGUCCUCCGAAACACAACCCAGCCAAGCCGCAAUGCUUCUUGACACAAUGCCCGCUUAACCCGGAAGCCAGUUGCACCAUGAUGUGUUGCAGGAAACACCGUACACCUGGGGACCUUGUCAGCGUGGAUUGCGCCCGGCCCGCCACAGGAGUCGCUAGUGCUCGAUGGGACAAGAACUUCCCUGUCGGCCAAACCCUCCCCUAACCCGGACGACGCUGGGCCAAUUGUGCGCCGCCCCAUGGGUCUCCCGGUCGCGGCCGUCUGCGACAGAGCCUGGAUCUCUAGUGGCACAGCUAGCACUGCGAUGCAGUGCCUUAGACUACUGCACCACUCGGGAGGCCUUAUAUUUUGGUGGGGAACGACAGUUGAACUAAGUGCAUGAGGUUCAUGGGGCAUCAUCACAGUGGACCAGUCCCCUCCGGUCCUCUCUGUCCAGCCUGGAGACACAAGACAUUGGCAAUGAUAUGGAGGUGCACCAGUUUAAACCUGGACAGGCACCCAAAACUCUUUUUAUGAUGGUAACCAGAGGUAUUUGUGCACACCCGGUCGGUUCAGUGGCCUCUAUACUGGAGCUCUCACCACCUUCACUAUCAGUUGAGUACAAGCAGAGGACGAAGCUUAGUAUUACUGACCAACACAGUGAAACAUUUCCAUCCACACAGUGAAAUACGGCUGUGCAUAAACCUCAGAUCACUGUUCUCAUAUGAGAAUGUUGCCAAGCUCCAGUGCACAGUUUAGCUUCAUUGAAAAACUGUUCCAUGCUUGUAACCUCGGUCUACACUAGACUCUACAUUCGGUCAAAACAGCCUCUCUCGUAUGUGCUAGAGCUCAUAUGGACAUUUGGGAUCUACAUUUUCUUAUUGAAAACAUGUUGUUUCUGGAUAUUUUGCUUCCAUCAAUAAUGACAUAUCUACUGUACAUGGACAACCUCUCAGACUCUUUAUGCAGGAGCUAUAAAGUCCCAAGUUACCUGGGACAUGAUACAGCUGAUCCUGGAAUAAAGGCUGUUAUGAUUUUUUAUUUAUUUACAUUGAUGGAUAUUGAAUUGAGAAAUGGGACCAGGCUAGGAAUCACUGUGAUGACAUGAUCAGUAUGGGAUGAUUCCUGGUGCUAAAUCUUUCAUCUGUAUUGAGCUAUUUGUGUACACAAAGAUACAUCCACUGGAUUGAUCAGUAAGGUAAGGAGUCAUGUUUGAAAUUGUAAUGUUAUUGAGUUGGUAAAACAAUUUGAAAACAAAUCUUUAACUCCCACUGUAAGAUUGUUCAUAGUUUAUAACAAAUCAAUAGAAAUAUAAUCUCUCUCACUGAAAAGAGUUGUACAAAAUUAUGAUAAACAAUUGAAUAGUUACAUUAAAUGAUGGAUAAUUUGUAUCAUACUGUAGUGGUUGAUAUUUGUUUAGAAAUUCUGUUAACUAGUUCCGUUCAUGGACCAGUGAGUUUAGUGGAGGAGAGGUUUUUGAACAACCUCCUCAUCUGUUUAAAUCAUUGUGGUACAAGUUUGGGCAAACGACCAAACUGAUCGUUAAGAGUAAGUUGCAAAUAUUUCUAGAAUGUAUCUAAUCAAUAGACUAUAUUGUUUAUAGACAUUUCUGUUAUUAUUGUAAGUGGAACCAUCAUGGUGUAAUUGUGAACAGAUAUUUUACUGUAACAAACAACUAAUUUAAUUAUAAACAAGAGUGUAUUAUUCUUUCAGAGACAUUUUGAUAUUGGCCUCUCUAUGCUGCUGAAUUGGAAUGGAUCCAUCAAAACACUGCAGCUGUGUACGCUGUUUAAUGAUUUUCUUUAUUUAAUCAAUUUCAUAAAUCUAAUGUUUUGGUAACACUUUAUUUCAUCCUAUCAUAUUAUACAUUUCAUGAAGCCUUCAUAAAUGCUUAUAAAUGCUUUAAAAAUGAUAAAUGUUCUACAUUUUCAUGGAAUGGAAGGCUUAGAAUGCUUAUAAAUGUUUACACAUUUAUUCAUGAUAGUUAUUAUAAUAAAGUGUUACCAAUAUUUUUCUUAAUUAUAUUGUAUUUUACAAAUGUACAAAAUAUAUUAUUUACAUAUAUUAUUAUGUAAAUCAAUAAUAGAUGUAUUGUCUAUCUGCAUUUAUACAUAUUUCAAUCUGUUUAUGCUGGAGGCAAUGGAAAUACUAAGGGGGGGGGUUCUACUAAGGUGACAUAUGAAAUUGUUUUUAGAUGGUCAUACCAUGGAUCAUUUAGCUAUAUGAUAUUGAAUUUUAGGACCCCUGUAGGUAUCAACAUUUUAAAUGUUUGAUCAAAUGUAGAAUUUGGCCUUUACUACUAUAGCCCAUAGAAAUGCAUAGAAUAAUGGCAAAAUAAAU
This 6538-nucleotide long non-coding RNA is filed under the name Salmo salar (Atlantic salmon). RNAcentral's name for it is "lncRNA (ENSSSAG00000102157.1)". The record is from RNAcentral. Lineage: Eukaryota; Metazoa; Chordata; Actinopteri; Salmoniformes; Salmonidae.